UACGGAGGGUGCAAGCGUUAAUCGGAAUUACUGGCGUAAAGCGUGCGUAGGUGGUUCGUUAAGUCCGUUGUGAAAGCCCCGAGCUCAACUUGGGAAUUGCAGUGGAUACUGGCGAGCUGGAGUGCGGUAGAGGAAGGUGGAAUUCCCGGUGUAGCGGUGAAAUGCGUAGAGAUCGGGAGGAACACCAGUGGCGAAGGCGGCCUUCUGGACCAGCACUGACACUCAAGCACGAAAGCGUGGGAGCAAACAGG
This 251-nucleotide ribosomal RNA is filed under the name uncultured bacterium. RNAcentral describes it as "partial 16S ribosomal RNA". It matches the Rfam family "Bacterial small subunit ribosomal RNA", at positions 524 to 776 of the family's 1533-position model. The record is from RNAcentral.